UACGGAGGGUGCAGGCGUUAUCCGGAUUUACUGGGUUUAAAGGGUGCGUAGGCGGGCAUGUAAGUCAGUGGUGAAAUACCGGAGCUUAACUUCGGAACUGCCAUUGAUACUAUAUGUCUUGAAUAUUGUGGAGGUAAGCGGAAUAUGUCAUGUAGCGGUGAAAUGCAUAGAUAUGACAUAGAACACCGAUUGCGGAGGCAGCUUGCUACACAAAUAUUGACGCUGAGGCAAGAAAGCGUGGGGAUCAAACAGG
RNAcentral lists this ribosomal RNA (253 nucleotides) under uncultured bacterium. RNAcentral's name for it is "partial 16S ribosomal RNA". It matches the Rfam family "Bacterial small subunit ribosomal RNA", at positions 524 to 776 of the family's 1533-position model. The record is from RNAcentral.